This 602-nucleotide long non-coding RNA is filed under the name Phoenix dactylifera (date palm). RNAcentral describes it as "long non-coding RNA (PDAC_LNC002163)". Lineage: Eukaryota; Viridiplantae; Streptophyta; Magnoliopsida; Arecales; Arecaceae. The record is from RNAcentral.
UUUCAAGUAACAUUAUCUUGUUUGCUGGUUGUUCAUCUUCGUGCACGAUAGAGGAUUUGUGCUCGGCCCGAUGGCAUCAAUGAAAAAUAUCAGUAGGCAUUAGAAGCUAGAUGGGGAUGUUGGUCGAGACAAGCUAGUAGAUGGAAUCUUUGCCGAAAUGACUUCGGUGGCAAGAAAGAGUGAAGGUUAGUAGUUCGCACGGCUGUAGAGUGCAGCUAGAUCGAUACUGUUGCUCGAAACUGAUGCUAACUUGCACUUCAUGCUCCAUAAAUCACAGCAAAUACUCCCAAACGAAAGCUAGCUACCUAACUAUUCAUUCCUAGUCUAAUAGUCAUUCCAAAUGAUCAAGGAGGGACCACCCGUAUUGAAGCUUACAAACUUGAUUGGAAUAUCAAGUGAUGCUGAAUUCGCCAUCAACUAUAGCUUGCAUCCAGGAGGUCAACAUAUGUCACGCUGGAAGCCAGUUAAUUCAAGAUGGAGAGAGGACGAAAAUUGUUUAGCCUUCUUGUAUAGCUUCAAUAUCUUGCAAGAUAGGGCAAUCUUUUUGAACUUGGAUGCCUAUUACUAUGCAAAAUGUCGACAUGAGUUGGGAUCUUCCCCAA